AUCAUCGCUAAUUGAAAAGAAAUGCUAGCUUCUUAUUUAAUAAUUUUCUUAUUAGCAACCUUAUCUAUCUCCAAAGGGACGGCGGAUCCAUGGAUCAGAGAUCCGCAUUAUGAUCAAAACGAAUAUAUCGCAAGCCAUGGAUUUGAAACUUUUUGUGCGAAUAUAUGUCCAAAUGCGCGAUAUCCACGUUGCAUGGAAUGCUCUCCUAAUUCAACCUCCCUCCUUUCUCCUAUAUGAUUUUAAAAAUUUGCUUACUUUUUAUUUUUAUAACAUGUGUUAGCAAUAUCAAUUUAUUGGGCUAUAUAGUUUUUUUAA
Molecule: long non-coding RNA, 315 nt
Organism: Gordionus sp. m RMFG-2023
Lineage: Eukaryota; Metazoa; Nematomorpha; Gordioida; Chordodea; Parachordodidae
Exons: 3
Source: RefSeq, a predicted model, not a curated record